RNAcentral lists this ribosomal RNA (467 nucleotides) under uncultured bacterium. RNAcentral describes it as "partial 16S ribosomal RNA". It matches the Rfam family "Bacterial small subunit ribosomal RNA", at positions 29 to 507 of the family's 1533-position model. The record is from RNAcentral.
ACGAACGCUGGCGGCGUGCUUAACACCUGCAAGUCGAACGGAAAGGCCUUGCUUUUGUGGGGUGCUCGAGUGGCGAACGGGUGAGUAACACGUGAGUAACCUGCCCUUGACUUUGGGAUAACUUCAGGAAACUGGGGCUAAUACCGGAUAGGAGCUCCUGCUGCAUGGUGGGGGUUGGAAAGUUUCGGCGGUUGGGGAUGGACUCGCGGCUUAUCAGCUUGUUGGUGGGGUAGUGGCUUACCAAGGCUUUGACGGGUAGCCGGCCUGAGAGGGUGACCGGCCACAUUGGGACUGAGAUACGGCCCAGACUCCUACGGGAGGCAGCAGUGGGGAAUAUUGCACAAUGGGCGGAAGCCUGAUGCAGCAACGCCGCGUGCGGGAUGACGGCCUUCGGGUUGUAAACCGCUUUCGCCUGUGACGAAGCGUGAGUGACGGUAAUGGGUAAAGAAGCACCGGCUAACUACGUG